UUGAAGUUGUUGAAUGAAUGCUCGAACUGUUGAGUGAGUUUGAAGAGAGAGAAACGAUGAAGAUGAUACAAUCGUAAUUAGUAACUUCAAAUCAAAUGUAUAAUUGUAAGUUUUGAGCUUGGGAAAAUAAUAAAAAGAAAAGAGCGAAGUACUGAGCAAAAGAAAGCAUGAUACCACAUCAAAUCAAACAGUUCAUAUUUCCAAGAUUAAAAUCGACUUUGCGUUGCAUCUGCCCCUUUAUUGGUGGUACAACUUAAUAUAGCUUAAUGUACAACUUAAUGCCCCUUUGUUGGUGGUACAACUUAUCUUCUAAUGACAGAGAAGUUUAUUGCUUAGCCACAAGUCCAUUGCCUUUGUUUUAUAAAUAAUUCUUCUGUUGUGUACAACUUAAUGCCCCUUUGUUGGUGGUACAACUUAUCUUCUAAUGACAGAGAAGUUUAUUGCUUAGCCACAAGUCCAUUGCCUUUGUAAGAUGACAUUUUUCAUUAAUAAAAUCCUUUAGUUUCUCAUGAAGUUUAUCAGUUAAUUAUAUAUAUUUAUAUGUGGAUGUGGUGAUCCAUUGUUUUGUAGAUGAGAUAUAAAACAAGACGUAAGUGCUUGCUAUUUUAG
This 609-nucleotide long non-coding RNA is filed under the name Helianthus annuus (common sunflower). RNAcentral's name for it is "hypothetical non coding rna". Lineage: Eukaryota; Viridiplantae; Streptophyta; Magnoliopsida; Asterales; Asteraceae. The record is from RNAcentral.